GGGGAGAUUCCAGAGCGGCCAAAUGGGGCAGACUGUAAAUCUGUUGUCUUACGACUUCGCAGGUUCGAAUCCUGCUCUCCCCA
RNAcentral lists this transfer RNA (83 nucleotides) under Bacteroidota bacterium. Its description in RNAcentral is "Bacteroidetes bacterium tRNA-Tyr". It matches the Rfam family "tRNA". From Rfam's summary of the family: Transfer RNA (tRNA) molecules are approximately 80 nucleotides in length. Their secondary structure includes four short double-helical elements and three loops (D, anti-codon, and T loops). Further hydrogen bonds mediate the characteristic L-shaped molecular structure. tRNAs have two regions of fundamental functional importance: the anti-codon, which is responsible for specific mRNA codon recognition, and the 3' end, to which the tRNAs corresponding amino acid is attached (by aminoacyl-tRNA synthetases). tRNAs cope with the degeneracy of the genetic code in two manners: having more than one tRNA (with a specific anti-codon) for a particular amino acid; and 'wobble' base-pairing, i.e. permitting non-standard base-pairing at the 3rd anti-codon position. RNAcentral also lists the same sequence under 1 other name. Lineage: Bacteria; Pseudomonadati; Bacteroidota. The record is from RNAcentral.